This 497-nucleotide ribosomal RNA is filed under the name uncultured bacterium. RNAcentral's name for it is "partial 16S ribosomal RNA". It matches the Rfam family "Bacterial small subunit ribosomal RNA", at positions 28 to 507 of the family's 1533-position model. The record is from RNAcentral.
GAUGAACGCUGGCGGCGUGCCUAAUACAUGCAAGUCGAGCGAACAGACGAGGAGCUUGCUCCUUUGACGUUAGCGGCGGACGGGUGAGUAACACGUGGGUAACCUACCUAUAAGACUGGGAUAACUUCGGGAAACCGGAGCUAAUACCGGAUAAUAUUUCGAACCGCAUGGUUCGAUGGUGAAAGAUGGCUUUGCUAUCACUUAUAGAUGGACCUGCGCCGUAUGAGCUAGUUGGGAAGGUAACGGCUUACCAAGGCAACGAUACGUAGCCGACCUGAGAGGGUGGUCGGCCACACUGGAGCUGGGACACGGUCCAGACUACUACGGGAGGCAGCAGUCGGGAAUCUUCCGCAAUGGGCGAAAGCCUGACGGAGCAAGGCCGCGUGAGUGAUGAAGGUCUUCGGAUCGUAAAACUCUGUUAUUAGUGAAGAACAAACGUGUAAGGAACUGUGCACGGCUUGACGGUACCUAAUCAGAAAGCCACGGCUAACUACGUG